UACGUAGGGUGCGAGCGUUAAUCGGAAUUACUGGGCGUAAAGCGUGCGCAGGCGGCGCGUUAAGACAGGUGUGAAAGCCCCGAGCUUAACUUGGGAAUUGCGCUUGUGACUGGCGUGCUGGAGUGUGGCAGAGGGAGGUGGAAUUCCACGUGUAGCAGUGAAAUGCGUAGAGAUGUGGAGGAACACCGAUGGAGAAGGCAGCCUCCUGGGCCAGCACUGACGCUCAUGCACGAAAGCGUGGGGAGCAAACAGG
RNAcentral lists this ribosomal RNA (253 nucleotides) under uncultured bacterium. Its description in RNAcentral is "partial 16S ribosomal RNA". It matches the Rfam family "Bacterial small subunit ribosomal RNA", at positions 524 to 776 of the family's 1533-position model. The record is from RNAcentral.